This 252-nucleotide ribosomal RNA is filed under the name uncultured bacterium. RNAcentral describes it as "partial 16S ribosomal RNA". It matches the Rfam family "Bacterial small subunit ribosomal RNA", at positions 524 to 775 of the family's 1533-position model. The record is from RNAcentral.
UACGGAGGGGGCUAGCGUUGUUCGGAAUUACUGGGCGUAAAGCGCACGUAGGCGGCUUUGUAAGUUAGAGGUGAAAGCCCGGGGCUCAACUCCGGAAUUGCCUUUAAGACUGCAUCGCUCGAGUUGUGGAGAGGUAAGUGGAAUUCCGAGUGUAGAGGUGAAAUUCGUAGAUAUUCGGAAGAACACCAGUGGCGAAGGCGACUUACUGGACACAUACUGACGCUGAGGUGCGAAAGCGUGGGGAGCAACAGG